This 256-nucleotide ribosomal RNA is filed under the name uncultured bacterium. RNAcentral's name for it is "partial 16S ribosomal RNA". It matches the Rfam family "Bacterial small subunit ribosomal RNA", at positions 524 to 779 of the family's 1533-position model. The record is from RNAcentral.
UACGGGGGGGCAAGCGUUGUUCGGAAUUACUGGGCGUAAAGGGCUCGUAGGUGGCCAACUAAGUCAGACGUGAAAUCCCUCGGCUUAACCGGGGGAACUGCGUCUGAUACUGGAUGGCUUGAGUUCGGGAGAGGGAUGCGGAAUUCCAGGUGUAGCGGUGAAAUGCGUAGAUAUCUGGAGGAACACCGGUGGCGAAGGCGGCAUCCUGGACCGACACUGACACUGAGGAGCGAAAGCCAGGGGAGCAAAAGCGGGG